ACAAGGUUUCUGCCAUCUGAAUUUUACAAACUGGUGAGAGGGAGGAGGGGGAAGGGCCCAAAGGGAGGGUGAGCAAGCACAGGUAAGGGGUGCAGAAGGGAGGGCCAUCUGGUAUUGACAGGGGACUACACAAAUGGCAGAAGAGAUGUGGUGAAAUCAAGUCUUAAAUGAAGAGCCUCGUUUUGUCCAAAUCUGGCCCAUCUCUGAAGGUUCAGGUAACCUUUGACCUCUGGUGGCAACCACUUCCUGCCCGCUCACGCUCACCCACACCCCUCUCUCUGAGCAUUUAUAACACUCCAGCAGGUAUUUGUCACAUAACUGAUGCUAUUUCCAUGUCUUUAUUUAGGUGCGCCCUUCUUUUUGCUUCCCCAAAAGACUGGAACUGCCCUUUGCCUCUCCCGAGCCUGCCGGACUAGACUUCCAAGUGCUAGACCCUGCAAUAGUGUUCUUUUUGAGAGUCACAAGAUUUUGCAUUUGAACCCAGCUCUGCCACUGAAAAACCACGUGCCCUCGGAGAAGUUCCUUAUACUAUCUUCUCGGUAUCCUUCUCAAGUGAAGACCAGUGUGGGAGAAGUGUGCAGCACAGACAGGGAAGAGGAGGGCACAAGAGAAAUGACAGCAGCUGGAGGCACCUACAAGCAGCCAGGCACUUGAGAAUUGACUGGACAUUUGGUGACAAUGGUAACAACAGAGCACAACUGCUGGGUUAUGUCCCGACUGCUUCACCCCAAUCCUUCAGUACAAACCCUUACUCUCCCCAUUUUGUAAAUGAGGAAAAUGAGGCACAGAAGGGAUAAGUGACUUGCUUAGGGUCUCACACAGCUAUUAAGUGACAGAGACAGGAUUGCGGCCCCAGCUUCCUGUGGCCAGAGUUCAUGUUUUCAAUCCCUGAGCCCUAUGGCCUCUGCACACCUGGAGAGAAAUGGGAUGGGGCUCUAAAGAGGCAAGUUAUAUACCGGAAUUUGGGGGGUAGUCUCUAUUUCAAACAAUGUCUUGAAUUCCUUGAAGAACGUGAAACGGGGCCCCUGAUCUGGAGGCUGGUACCCGCCCUGAGGACGUGGCGUUCUCCAGUCGAACAUCAACGAUUUCAGAGAAUACUCACGUCGGACAAGACUGCUGUGAUCACGAUGGAUCGCAACAAAAGUAAGGCAAGCAGCUAUUUAUGUUUGAAGACACACAAACCACAAACAUCGUCCAAAACACAGGAAUGACCAAACACGGCCCUAAACGUAUUAUUCCUCCUGCCUGAUUGACAAGAAUUCUCGAGCCCCUUUAUCGAGUCCUCUGUUUCCUGAAAGUGUCCAAUCCAGAGCAAAGCCUCGCUUCCUUGAACCCACCCUCAAAUCACCUAAUACAAACCCAAAACCUAUAAUAAAUAAUUUUUGAAAGCA
This is a long non-coding RNA of Neofelis nebulosa (Clouded leopard), 1391 nucleotides long. RefSeq lists it as uncharacterized. Lineage: Eukaryota; Metazoa; Chordata; Mammalia; Carnivora; Felidae. The transcript is spliced from 2 exons. The record is from RefSeq and is a predicted model, not a curated record.